CCCUUAGAUGUUCUGGGCCGCACGCGCGCUACACUGACUGGUGCAACAAGUGUCGCUCCUUGGCCGAUAGGCCUGGGCAAUCUUUGAACGCCAGUCGUGAUGGGGAUAGAUUCUUGCAAUUUUUGAUCUUCAACGAGGAAUUCCUAGUAAACGCGAGUCAUCAACUCGCAUUGAUUACGUCCCUGCCCUUUGUACACACCGCCCGUCGCACCUACCGAUUGAAUGGUCCGGUGAACCCUCCGGAUCGGCCCGCGCCAACGCAAGUUGAGCAAAGGCGGAGAAGUUGGGUAAACCUUACCAUUUAGAGGAAGGUGAAGUCGUAACA
RNAcentral lists this ribosomal RNA (325 nucleotides) under uncultured eukaryote. RNAcentral describes it as "partial 18S ribosomal RNA". It matches the Rfam family "Eukaryotic small subunit ribosomal RNA", at positions 1470 to 1796 of the family's 1831-position model. The record is from RNAcentral.